UCUUACACAGUCAUUUAAUUCAUGACUUUAAAAAAUUAAUGCUGAUGUUGUGAAAAUAAGUAAAAGAAAGAAGUACUACAUAUAAAAAAGACUACAUACUCUGAUUAAGGAAUUGAAUAUGUGGAGCAAACAAAUGCAUCUGUCUAAAUUGUAAGCAACGGAAUUACAAGAAACACUUUCGAGUGUGCAUAAAAUCUUCACAGUGCUCUUAAGAUUUCGAUGCAUCACAGGGAUAUUACAUGUUUAUUAAGCUAUAGUUGACACUGUGAAACUCAAAUCAUUUAUGCCUUUGGUGUGACAAACACAAUACAAUUAAACUUACCUUCAUUCUCACCUUUUUGUAUUGUGUUUGUUGCACUGAAUUUAGCGAUCUAAAUUAGAAAUGAAACUCUUACUGCCCUUUGGGGUUCUGGUUUGAUUUAUUGUGAAAGCUACUGUAACCUGCACUGAUUUUAUUUGAUCGAAAGCUACUGUAACCUGCCCUUUUUGAAGGGGAAAAAAAAUCCUACUUUUUUCAAAAUUCUGUUUGGUUCUGAACUGUACAAUUCCAAACUUUUUAGAAUCUCAUUGCUUGGCAGGCUCUGUAUUCUUGGUUUGAAUUCAAUUCAUAGCUGGGUUUAAUCACAAAUAAAGUGGAAAUCUAGUGUUAAGGAAAAAUUGUCGUUGGAGUGGUGUAUAUACAAGGACCUAGCUUCUCAAACGAUUUAUGGGAUAGCCAGAUCAGCUAGAAUCCACCACCAUACAUUAAUUAUGAUGAUUCUGUAAAAGUGGGGAAUUAAGAAUAACCUUCAAAUUUUAGUUGCAUAAACUGUGCACUCCCUGUUUCUUCAAAUUCUGCAUUUAGCAUAAACUGGGCUCCACUUUUUCAGGUUUGUUCGCAUUUGCUUCUUCAACAGACAUGACGACUGCAACUCAACCCACCUGGGCUCCUGCAAAAGAUGGUAAUGAACAAGGUGGUACUUGGAUUUUUGAUUACUGGUUAAUACCCAUUGCUUACUGGUUACAAAGGGUUCACUUCAGUUAUGAGUUUUCUUUAUUCCAUAAGGUGUCUUGAUUGCUAAUUGAGAAUUUAAUCCACUUUUAUGCUUCAAUAAUUCGAUCUUAAUUUCAGUAUCAAAAAUCAUUGAUGUUGAACAGCAUCACAAGAGCAAUAAUGACAGCUUUUUCGAUAUUGUGGUGCUCCUACGGAUUAGGACCACAUGCAGGGAGAUGUGGUUUCUGCUUUUCAAAGUAAAAGAAACAGCUUUUUCGAUAUUGAGGUGCUCCUACAGAUUAGGACCACAUGCAGAGAGAUGUGGUUUCUGCUUUUCAAAGUAAAAGAAACAAUACAUUGGUUAUGUUGUGCAUCAAAAUUAUGUAUAUGAACUGCAAUACAGUAGGAAUUGACACUGAAUUAUAUCCAACGAAGCAGCUUGAGACGUUGCUAUUGAAAUCGAUGCCUUGAACUGUGAUUUUGUGGGGAGCAAGACGGAAGAGGGUCAGUUUGUUUGUGCUCAAAAGAAGGAACUUUUUUGUUGUUCAAGGGAAUUAGGAUUUUGGGGUGACAUGGUACAGAAGCUGAUAUAUUAGAUAUACAAGAACCCUCAUCCAAAUAUUGUUGUUUUAACAGUUGGAGCAGGUGAUAUAACAAUUGUAGGCUCAAAGCUGUCCAAACUGGAGAUAGAAAAUAUGGUAACCCCAUCAGUGACCAAGUCUUUGCAUGACGUAGAUUUGGUUCGAUGGAGAUGUCAACCAGAACAAAGAAGGCAGUUUUGGAAGUAGUUUGGGGAAAACAAAAGAUGGACUUCAGGUCAUUGAUUCCCGCCACAAAAACUUUUGUGCACAGAUGAGGAAAGACGAUGACUAAAGUUGAAAUCACCGGGUAGAAAGUUACAAGUUCAUUUGGUUGCAAAUGCAUGUGAGUUGGGUUAUGGAAUGGAAGGUGGAAGACGGUCAAGAUCAGAUUGAAGGUACAAGUAUAUUUCUCAAUUUGUAUUAGAUCUUUUGUAAUGUCAAGAAACUGCCAUGCUUUAUUAAUUGAAUUGUAUAAGAUUAAAAGAUCCUAUCCUUUUCUUCAUCUUCUAAACUUUUUCAUUUCAAACAAUUCUAAUUGUUUUUAAGAGUGAGUGAAUCAAAUUAUUAUUUAUCUGUA
This is a long non-coding RNA of Rosa chinensis, 2131 nucleotides long. RefSeq lists it as uncharacterized. The transcript has 6 exons. The record is from RefSeq and is a predicted model, not a curated record. Lineage: Eukaryota; Viridiplantae; Streptophyta; Magnoliopsida; Rosales; Rosaceae.